Malus domestica (apple) is the source of this 3594-nucleotide non-coding RNA. Lineage: Eukaryota; Viridiplantae; Streptophyta; Magnoliopsida; Rosales; Rosaceae. The record is from RefSeq and is a predicted model, not a curated record.
CGGUUCGGUUUCGGUUUUGGCAAAAAACCGAACCGUUUCAAACCGAACCCAACCCUAGGUGCUUCGGUGCUCUUUCCUUUUUUCUUUGCUGUUGUCGCUGUUCUAACCUUAAUUUUUUUCCCUUUUUGAUCUCAUUUCUCUCCCCUCGCGCCGAUCAGUCGGUAUGUAAAAAUUUCCUCUCUUUCCCGUUGAUGUCGCUGCUUGGGCGUUGAUCUUCUUCGCUUUCGAUUUCUUUGGGUGUUUUGUAGCUGUCUGCUCUCUCUUCUCUCUUCGCAUCUGUUGGUCUCAAAGUGGAUAGUUUUGUUGUGAAUUCUUCUAAUCUUGCAUCUACAAUUUUUUUAUGCAACUGUGUGGAUUGUGUUCUGUUCAAUUUUAGAUGUUAGAAUGGGUUGUUGCUUUCGAAGUUUUCGUUUGAUGACAGAGAUGUGGUUUUUUGGGGAGAAACUUUUAAUCCUUGAGUUUUUUAGUUAGGUUGUGUUGUGGGUCUUGACAAAUUUCUAACAAAAGCAGCUUGACGAUGAAAUGAUCUAACCAGAGGAGGGGGAGAGAGCGGGAGGGGGAGUGAGAGAGCUCUGUGUAGAAGAGUGUCGAAACGGCCAGAUCUACAAUUGGAAAGAAGCCGACGGCGGCAGAUUCUAUUGUGCUAGAUUGUGUGUAACUUCCAUCUGGGUUCUUCAAAUUCCAGCCCCCCAAAUUUGAGCAGUUUAUGUUACCCGGACUUAUCGAAUCAAGGCAGCUGCAAGGAAAUUUGAGCCUUGGCCUGUAGAGAUACGAUUUUGCAAGGAAGCUAGAACGAAGGAGGCAUUCAAAUUACUUUUGCUCCAAUCCAUUUCAUCAAUUUAUCAAGCUUUCAUGUUGAAGCUCCUGGGAAGCACAUGCAUUAUAUUGCCAACCAUGAAAAGCCUUGGAAAAUAAUAUUGAGCCCUCAGCAUCAGAAGACUGUUCUCCAAAGGCUGCCUCCGUUUCAUCCUGAAGCUAAGAAGAUCGGUUCUGGGAUCGAUUAUAUCACGACUUGGUUGCUUUUGGGUUUUCACUACUUUUUAAAAAAUGGGCGCCGAUCUCAGUCAACCCCCCCAAACAUCGGGUAAGUAUCAAUCUCUUGCCGUGUAAAUUCUCACAUUUGUUUUUGUGUUUGUUUGAUUUUAGUUUCUAGGGUUAUAAUUUCGAUCGAUUCAUUUGAGUUUCCUUCUAGAUCCAAAAGUUAAUAAUUCCUUUUGAUUUUUUUUUGUUCUCCCAAUCGCCCCUACAGUGGAUAGUUAUGCAUUUUUAUCUUGCAGAAAAGAUUGCAUAUUUGAUCUGAAUUGCAUGUUCAUCAUUUGCUCGACAUUUAUGGGUUUUACGCUGUCAAAAUCACAAUGCGAUUUCACAAGGUAUUAAUAAGGCUUAUUUGUUUUGAUUCAAAAUUGACUGUAUCAGUCCUUAAUAGUUUGUAAAUUUUUUUGGGUCUCUCUUAAGCCACGCCAUGAGAAGAAAAUUAAUCAUAAAGGUUUUCCCUUUUCCCUUCUCUUUUGAUUUCCCAGCAUGCAUGUUUUUCUCUGUUUUUACUGUUUUUAGCUCUGUUUAUUGCUUUUGAUUUUAGAUUUGCGGAUUGUUUCGAAACUGAGUUCCUGUUAAUUGCAAUAUCGUCACAUUCAAUGUGAUGUGAGAUAUUCUUAAUUCCACCAAUUGAUUUCAUGUAAUUGAAGUUUUGUUACAUUGAAUGUACAGAUAUUCUCAUUUGCUAAUUUACUUAACAAUCGCCAUUUUCCAUUGAUUAAUUAAACUUCAUCGUUCUUUAAAUAUCUAUAUAUGUUAUGCUCACGCUUUUUGUAAUCCCGUAGCAACGCAUGUGCACUAUUUCUAGCCUUCUCUACAAGGUAACCCCAAAUCAUUCAUUUCUAAUUAUAUUAAUUAGCUAAUUAAUUGAUUUAUUACCUAAUUAAUUUAUUAAUUAGCUAACAAAUCAUGAAUCUCACCCAAAAAACCAUCUAAGUGGCCGGUUCCCAUCCUCUCAAAAGGGGUGGCCACACGCUUAUAAAUACUAUCUCAUUUUCUCCAAAACUCAAUUCCAUUUCUCUUGCUAAAUUCUCCAAAUUCUCCAAACAUUUUUCUCUCAAAAUUCUAAUUUUGGCAUCGAAGCCCCCCCUUCCACAUUCAUCGUGGACGUGUGAGGCUUUUGGCCUUGACCUAAGGUGUUAUUUGUUUUGUAGAUGCAAUUUUGUCCAAGAACAAUGAUGAAGAAAUUUGCAUACACAAGUUUAAUUCAAUUAACUGAGAAAAUUAAAGAACAAACUUAAAAUAAUAAAUUAUUGAGGGGGUUAAAAAAUAACCUUAUUCGGUUGGAGAUUGUAUAUAGAUAUGGCUUUUUAUUGUUUAUUAAAAAGUAAUUUUUUGUAGGACUAUAAUCUAUCCGAUUGGAAAUGGUGUUAAGGUGGUAAGCAAAAAUGCUCGCAUUAAAUAUUGCAAUGUGAAUUGAAAAUAUUUAAAUAAUAAAAAAUAAUUUUUAUUUGUAUAAUUAAAAACUAAAUAUAUAUAUAUAUAUAUAUAUAUAUAUAGAUACACACACGAGCAGUACUGUUCAUCUGCUUCUUCCCCACCAAUAAUUUGUUUUUUCAACUAUUUUUCGGAUAUUUGUGGGUAUUAUUAAGGGGUAGGUCUGAUGGGUCUUUGUCCUACGCUUUUCAUGGCCAAUGGGAGCGCAUGGGACCUGGAUUUUGUUUCACGGCCACCUGAGGUCAAUAAACAAACUAAAACCAAGAACUCAAAAAGAUUCAAUCUUGGGAAAAAUGGUCGACGAAGCCGCAUAAUUGAGCUCACUGCGAAAUUGAAGCAUGUACAGACGCACAUGCAGAACAAAGGAAGGAAGAAAGAAGCGUGCUUUUCUAGUCAUGGAGGUGCUGCGAGCUUCAUCUGAUAAUUCAAAUACUUACAAAUCUAUUCGGAGAACGUUUGUGUUAGAGCAGAUCAAUGGUGGAUAAGAGGGACGGGGUCACUGUAUAUGAUAAUUCAAAUACUUACAGUACUGUUCAUCUUCCUCUUCCCCCAUUAAUUUUUUUUUUAAAACUGUUUUACUAUUUAAAUAUCUUUAAUUCAUAUGACAAUAUUUAAUUGAUUUAUGGGAUCCAGUUAUGUACCAUAUCAACACAUAACAAUUUUUUUUUACAGGAAAUACCAUGUUGAUAUGUGACAUCUAUUUUCAGGAAUUAUAUUGAUCGACUCAAGAACUAUGGAUAGGAACAAAAGAUUAAGAGCGAAACCACCAAGCGGCGCUGCGAAGAGGAAGAGUUGCUUCAUUGUCCGUGACAUCUUUGGGACACAAGACACCAAAUAUUGGUUCUGUAGCAUCUCAUUUUAUAUAAGAGCAAGGCUGCACAACUCACGGAUUGGUUCCAAAGUAUAUCGUCAUUCUCCUUUCGAUACGCUAAAUGUUUGAAAUGAUGUGUGGUUGAUUAGAAAAUGUGAUAAGGCUCUGUAUCCAAUCAAUGUGUGGUUGAUUAGAAAAUGUGAUAAGGCUCUGUGUCCAAUCAAAACUGUUCUGGAAAGUUGACUUUCUAGGGCUGGUUUGGUAUUGCUGUACUUUGAAAAAAAACUGCUAUGAGAAUAAGACCUAGUUUG